This 1410-nucleotide ribosomal RNA is filed under the name Limnonectes bannaensis (large-headed frog). RNAcentral describes it as "partial 16S rRNA". It matches the Rfam family "Bacterial large subunit ribosomal RNA", at positions 373 to 2594 of the family's 2925-position model. The record is from RNAcentral. Lineage: Eukaryota; Metazoa; Chordata; Amphibia; Anura; Dicroglossidae.
CCUAAAAUUAAGCCUAACCCACCCUUAUGAAAACCACUUCCAACUAAACAACAAUAAAACAUUUUAUCAGUUUAGUAAAGGCGAUUAAAAAACUUUCUAGCGCUUUACUUCUAGUACCGCAAGGGAAAAAUGAAAUAGUUUUGAAACAGCCAUUAAGCAACCUAUAGCAGAGACUACCCCUCGUACCUUUUGCAUCAUGGUUUAGCUAGUCUUUUUCAAGCAAAGCGAAACAUCAGUUUGACCCCCCGCAACUAAGCGAGCUACUUCAAAACAGCUCAAUGGAGCCAACCCGUCUCUGUCGCAAAAGAGUGGGACGAUUUUUAAGUAGAGGUGAAAAGCCUACCGAGCUUAGAGAUAGCUGGUUAUUCAAGAAAAGAAUUUUAGUUCUACCUUAAGUUUCUGUAUUAAUCCCAUAAACCACUUAGACUUAAGAGCUAUUCAAAUGAGGCACAGCUUAUUUGAAAAAGGAUACAACCUAUAAAAAAGGGUAAAAAACCCCCCCCCAAAAAUAAGUGGGCCUAAAAGCAGCCACCUUUAAGAAAGCGUUAAAGCUCCUUUUUCUAAGAAAUCUAAUACCCAAACACACCUUCAACCCUUUAUUCCCACUGAAUGAUUCUAUACUUACUAUAGAAGCCCCAAUGCUAAAACUAGUAACAAGAAAUUGACCUUCUCCUAAAUACAAGCAUAAACCAAAAUGGACAAACCAUUGGUUAUUAACGUCAAUUAAAUCAAUAUAAUAACUGUAUCAAGAAAACACUAUUACUAGUUAUUACGUUAACCUUACACAAGUGUAUUUCCGGAAAGAUUUAAAGAGGGGGAAGGAACUCGGCAAAUAAUAACCUCGCCUGUUUACCAAAAACAUCGCCUCUUGAUAAAAUAUAAGAGGUCCAGCCUGCCCAGUGAUAUAAUUAAACGGCCGCGGUACCCUGACCGUGCAAAGGUAGCAUAAUCACUUGUUCUCUAAAUAGGGACUCGUAUCAACGGCAUCACGAGGGUUAUACUGUCUCCCCCCUCUAAUCAGUGAAACUGACCUCCCCGUGAAGAGGCGGGGAUAUUAAUACAAGACGAGAAGACCCCAUGGAGCUUUAAACCCAAUAACAACCUUCACCAAAGUACCUUAAAAAUGAAGAGGCACUGUUUAUUGGUUUUAGGUUGGGGUGACCACGGAGAAAAACUAAACCUCCAUGACGAAUGGACCUUAAACCUAAUCUAAGAGCCACUACUCCAAGAAUCAUUAAUUUGACAUAAUUUGAUCCGGCAACCGAUCAACGAACCAAGUUACCCUGGGGAUAACAGCGCAAUCCAUUUCAAGAGCCCCUAUCGACAAAUGGGUUUACGACCUCCAUGUUGGAUCAGGGUAUCCCAGUGGUGCAGCCGCUACUAAAGGUUUGUUUGUUCAACAAUUAAAAC